UUUUUUCUUUGGGUUUUAAGGUAAAAGAGAUGUGAAAUUACAAGAUUGACCCUUAGACUAAUUCUUCGAUUCAACCUAAGGCUCGGGGGCUACUCCAUAUAGAGUUCGAUUUUCAUUGCACUUCCAUAUAAGAUUCAAGAUUGAAGAUUCAAUAUCAAGUUAAAUGAGGCUUGAGCACAUUCUAGCUGCAUGACAGUACUCAUGUUCCUUUGAAGAUUCAAUCCGAUGG
Molecule: long non-coding RNA, 229 nt
Filed under: Setaria italica (foxtail millet)
Lineage: Eukaryota; Viridiplantae; Streptophyta; Magnoliopsida; Poales; Poaceae
Description: long non-coding RNA (SITA_LNC000636)
Source: RNAcentral